This is a non-coding RNA of Ceratotherium simum simum (southern white rhinoceros), 1235 nucleotides long. NCBI's taxonomy places the organism in Eukaryota, Metazoa, Chordata, Mammalia, Perissodactyla, Rhinocerotidae. The record is from RefSeq and is a predicted model, not a curated record.
CCACAAGAAAGAUCUUGGAUGCUCAGUUUCUGACUCCCUGGAGUGGACUCUAAGGAUUUGGGGCUGCCUGGAUCAGGAUCUUUUUCCUAUGUUUGAAGAGUCCUCCCCUACCCUUUGCAUCUUGGUGGGAGGUGGGCUCCACCUCACCCGUCAGAAGCUGAAAAGGCUUGCUUUCCUAGCUCCCUUGCAAAUAACGGACAAGCCAAUCUAGACUCAGCCAGACAGGUCUGCCCUGCACUUUGAAUUGGGAGCAAGUGACGCCAAGAAGCAGGGGCAGUGGUGCAUCCAUUCUGGCAGCAGUGGCAGCAGUGUCCAGUGUUCUGGGUAGUGGCGGUGGCAGAGUUGGCCCCUCCUACCUCCCUAGGAAAUAAGAGUAUGUAGGUAAAACAACCUUGGGCCCUAGAGUUUUGGAGCAGCACAAGUUUUACAUACUCUGUUCACAUACUGUGUCCCCAUUUUUUGGUUUAAAAAUAUUCUCUAUCUCUACGGUGGGGGGCAGGGCUUGGUGUCCUGCCAGGGCAGAACUGCCUUUUACGUGGAAUAGAGUCACUCAAUUGUGUCAGAGCUGAGAAGACAGGAUAAAACAAACUCCUGAGGGCCUGAGACACCUCUGAAAGAGCUAGACACCCCGAGAGGCCAGCUUUUAGGUGAUGUAGUGAGAAAACACCUAAGACUAGAGUCCCGGAAGCCAGAAGAAGGCAGUGGUCAGUGAGAACAGAGAGACCACAGAAUUAGAUGCAUGUUGAUUACUUGUGUGGAGCCUAAUUUCGUUCUCUUGAGGGUGAACUGAACAUAGUGAUCUGCGUCUAAAGGACAGAAUAAGGUGGAAGUGACAAUGUGCAGCCUCAGAACUAGGUCAUAGAAGGCACUGUGGCCUCCUCCUUGCUCUCUCUUGGAUUCCUCUCUCUAGGGAAGGUAGCCACCAUGUUGUGAGGACACUCAAGCAGCCUGUGGAGAGGCCCAUGGGAGGAACUGAGGCUUCUUACCAGCAGGCAAUGAAACAGGCCUGCCAAAUGCCAGCAGAGAACUGAGCCUUCUGCCAAGCCAAGAGCCAUGUGGGUGAGCCAUCUUGGAAGUGGAUCCUUCCAAGUCACAGUCACAGUCAAGCCUUCAGAAAACUGUAGCCCCAGCUGAUGUUUUGACUGCAACCUAAGCCAGAACUACUCAGCUAAGCUACUCCCCAAUUCCUGACCAAGAGAAACUGUGAGAUAAUAAAUGUUUGUUGCUUUAAGCCA